CCUACGGGUGGCAGCAGUGAGGAAUAUUGGUCAAUGGGCUUACGCCUGAACCAGCCAAGUCGCGUGAGGGAAGACUGCCCUAUGGGUUGUAAACCUCUUUUGUCAGGGAGCAACGCCGGCUACGUGUAGCCGGACUGAGAGUACCUGAAGAAAAAGCAUCGGCUAACUCCGUGCCAGCAGCCGCGGUAAUACGGAGGAUGCGAGCGUUAUCCGGAUUUAUUGGGUUUAAAGGGUGCGUAGGCGGAAUGCCAAGUCAGCGGUAAAAUCGCGGGGCUCAACCUCGCUCCGCCAUUGAAACUGGCGUGCUUGAGUGGGCGAGAAGUAUGCGGAAUGCGUGGGGUAGCGGUGAAAUGCAUAGAUAUCACGCAGAACUCCGAUUGCGAAGGCAGCAUACCGGCGCCCAACUGACGCUGAAGCACGAAAGCGUGGGUAUCGAACAGGAUUAGAUACCCCAGUAGUC
This 460-nucleotide ribosomal RNA is filed under the name uncultured bacterium. RNAcentral's name for it is "partial 16S ribosomal RNA". It matches the Rfam family "Bacterial small subunit ribosomal RNA", at positions 338 to 795 of the family's 1533-position model. The record is from RNAcentral.